AGAAAACACAAAAGAAGAUACACUUUUGAGGUAUUGGCUGAAACUUUUUCUUAGAGGGAAAACUGUGCGAGAUCUGGAAGGAUUUUAUGAAUUCGUCUGUGGUUUCACGGUGUGGAAGCGUUCACUUUCAUAUCUCCAAAGGAAUAAGGAAGAGAAUGCAAAUUGAUUGCUUGACAGAGAUCAAAUUGCUUGCUACUAAUUAAUACAAAACAUCCAAGAGGGAAAACAAGGAUGAACACAAUGAGUACAUUAAGUCUCUUCACUUCACAGAUCUUAUUAUAGAAUUAUUUAUUUCUGUUAGCUUUGGAGAAAGGAAAAAAAGAGAGAAAAAGCACACAUCUUCUUAAUUAUAGCUCACAGAGCAUUUCCCCAGAAAAACAAAAUUGGGGUGGGGGGGAGAGAGGAGGGGGUCGCUAGGGGGGUUAUUCACACAGUUAGAUUUGCAUAUGAAUUAAGACUUAGCCUACUACUAUUCUGGCUGGUUCGUCAUCUGCUGAAUCAUAUUUAAACCCCCAAAACACACACACACACACACACAGGCACACAGUCACACAGUCACGCCCCAACAUAAGUAAUGUUUCUCAGAGGCCAGAUUUCUCUGGGGGGGACAAAAACUGAAGCAGCCUGAUGCUGAGGGUCUACGAGACUUUCAGUGUGUUAAUCUGGCUGCUAACUGUCCUUGAGCCCAGCCCAUUUCCCCCCCAACCCCAUCUGCCAGCAUUCCCACUGCAGAGGAGGAGAAUGGGUUACAAUUGUGGGAGGGGGGCAUAUAGGGGUUGGGGUUUGUGGGGGGUGUGGAGUGGGGGAGGCAGAAAAGAGAGAGACCUUCCCAGUCCAGCAAUCAUGAAUAACCAUUGCCUUGCACCAUUAUCAGGGGACCCUGGAUCCAAGCUGGAGAUGUAAGAGAGAGCAAACGCGUGCGCUCGGCGAUCUGGACAUUACUCUCACAUUUUGGUUGUUAGUGAUGCUAUUAUUAUUAUUUUCAUAUUACGCUUUAUUAAUACUCUCCAGCUGCCGUGGAUAUUCAUCACUGACCUUGAGUGUUUGUGUGUGUGUGUGUGAGUGUGUGUCCUGCCUCAGUUCCCAGCUUAUCCGUCCACUUGGGAUGCUCUCGUGUAAUUAACACAAACAUUAUUGUGACGGAGUAAAAAAAAAAAAAAAACAACUCUGUGCUGAUACCUCAUCUUGAAAACAAUAAAGCAUGCCAGAGUAGCAAAGUAAGAUUCUGGAGAGCACAAAAUUAAUUACAUUAUUUACAUUUCCUUUAGAUAAGGGGGUACAGGCGAUAUGAUGGAGGCAAAUGAGAUUACACAAAAUAAGAUUUCAAAAUGUCAGAGCUGCACUCCCAACCAACCAACUGUUAUGAUUAGAUUACUCUUUUAAUAUAAUUACUGUCUAAGGCCGUGUGUGUGGAAACAAUGCAUACAUAAAAAACAGCAGCCGCGUAUUAACUGAUUCCCCCCCCCUCUCUCUCUCCCCGUCCCUUUUCUCUCUGAGUCUUUUUCUCUUAACCUUUCUUCAACAGUAUCAUUUUGAAUUAUAGGGAACGGAUGGGUGCUCUGCACAAGGUCACUGUCUGGUGUGCACUCGCAACUCCCACCCCUCCACCCCCUCUUUUGCUCCUGUCUUGUUUUUGUUUCCUCUUCCAGAAGCGCACUGAGCGAAGGGUUAAAACUGGAAUGGAUUUAAUUAUGGAAUGAAUGGAAUUAUAAUGCGCCUGCAGCAAGUUUUCCUCCUUAUUUAUUAAAGCAGCUGAUGGGCCAGGUUUGAUGAGCCACUUCUGGCAUAAUUGAGUCAUCACACAAAGAGGGUUCCUCGCAUUCAGAGUGGUUUUAUCAGCAGCAAACAGACCUGAUUACUGGCAAUUACACUCUGAUCUAGGGGAAGGAGAAAAAAGGGUAAAUGUGCGGGGUAACGUUUUGUGUUUAUAGUUUACCCCGGGAAUAAUUUUCACAUUAAUUUUACAUGCUAAGUGUUUUCUGUUUAUGUAUAAUAAAGAGCAAACGGCAGGAGAUAGGACCUUUUACUUUCAUAUUUCCUUGUAAUGAAGGUCUAUGGGGGAUAUAGUUAAUUGAUCGCAAUUCAUACUUACACCAUAGGUGGGUUUUUUUAGUGUAAAGAAAGUGAGCUCAGUCUGUUUUAGCUCCAGCAGCAAGGUGCGCUAGCCGCAACAUACCUGUUUGGAUAAGGCUCACACCUCUUCCUGGGCAAGCUGGUGAUUGCUUUUGCCAUUUUUCAUUGAGAUGCAAAUAGAUUCAUGGAAAGUAAAUUAAGCCUUGGUCAGACAGUGAAAUCAACUUCUGUUCAGAGAGUAUUUAGAUAAACAACUUUGUGUUGUGCGUGUGUGCGUGCGUGUGCAUGCGCGUUUGUGUGUGUGUGUGUGUGUGUGUAGUGGGGGUGGUGGGGGGUUGUUAUCUUCUUUUGUGUGAGGUGGCCAUGAAGCCAUCAGACAUUCUCUGUCUAAAUACCAGCUGGACAGUCCAAUAACUGGAAAAUAAAUUAGGAGGGAAGAUGGGUCACAAAAUGUCUGUGUUUAAUUUUAGGCUUUUUCCUCCUCUUGAAUUUCACAACAGGUGAUUGAUCAGUACAUGGAUACUACAGGUGUGGGCUGAUUACUUGUAUUAUUGUAUACACAUAUUUUUUAAAAGUUGUAGAUUUAAAACUGCACAUUUUUUCCCCAUCACUGUUCCUAUGGUUUAUAGUGCUUUUAUGCAAAAGCCAGAAUCAGAGCAGAAGUGGAGGAAGUUUUCACUUAUUGUAUAAAGCAUAGUGCAGCUUUGCCCCUCCUCAAAUUGUUGCUGCACACAGCUAUUCAAUUGAGUGAAUGGAGGCUACCAGACUUACCCCUCACUUUAAAGUAAUACAAACAAAGUUUUCUGUGGCUGUUUGAGGCGUACAGGUGUGCAGCCUUGCCCCCACCCACAUGGUUCUUAUACACACUGCCGAUCAAUUGAUUUAAAGAAGACAUAUAUACCUCUUAUAAGAAUUUAUUUAUUUUUUCUCUGCACAUCCUCGCCUAACUUUUCCUGCACACCACUGGCCCACAGUCUGGAAGACGGCUGCUGCACUUAUGCCUCUCUUACAAGAAAGACAAAUUCAGUUAUGUUGUGGAGAUUAAAAGUAGGGCCACCUAUUGGUCUUAUUAAGGUAAUCUUGUUUGAAAACAACACUUGGCAGGCAUUGUGUGUCUGUUAAGCAGAUGACUGCCGCCUGGCUACCUGUGCAGGAAGUCUGACUAAUUAUCCUACUAAUGUCUGCUUGUUAUACUUUGGCAAAUACUACUAAAUUUAGAGGUUGUUUAUAUUUAUGCUUGAGCCCAUGCAUAGAAAUUAUUUUUCACUGAAUAAUUAUAAUUGAUAAUAUCGUUCUGUGUCCUGUGGUCUAAAUAUGCAAGAUUGUAAAAGAUUAAUAUUUUUACUAAAGGGUAUGCCAUGAUAAUAUCAUACUGGCUCAUAUCCAGUAAAGAUUAACUGAUAAUUCCUUAAAACAAAACUCUGAUGCCAAGUUUAUUUUAUUUUCCCAUUUUUCAAUUAUAUCAUACAAAAAAAAAUGCUAAGUAGUCUUGAACUUUUUGAGAUUUGUUUCAGUGGUAAAAAUGAAAGUAAAGAUCUUUAUGUGCUUGCUUCAGAGAAAAGAAAAAAAAAAGCUUCAUCUUAAAAAAAACCCUGCCAACAAUUUAUGAGCAUUCCUCUGUGUAAAGGAGUUUAGUGGUUUCAUGCAGACACAGGCAAAAUCCUGAAGUCAACUGCGAUUUCAGAUAUAACAGCCUCACAGCUAUCCUGACGGCCAAGCAAAGUGUUUGUGCCUUUUGCCAAAGUGUACUUUUAUAGAGAAGCGUAUUGGCAUCUCAUCACUUCUCCAAGACAGAGACGCUUCAAUAAAGGAGCACAGCUCACAGAAUUCUUAACAGACAAUUAGGAGGCUGGCUAGAAGCUAUCGCUUCAAUGAUUUGUUAUGAUGGCAAAACUACAGGGGAAACUUGUUGUUGGACAGAGUUAGCAGGAGUCCCAUGAAAGAGUCAGAUGGUGACACCUUUGCCGAGGUGAUUUAUGAAUCUUGUAAUCGCGUUCCAAAGUCAUCCCAAAGCCUUUCCUUCUAAAUUGGGUUCAUCUGGAGCCGGACCACACAGAGGCACCGAGUCCAGAUUGUUUCUUCUGACAUCAAAGAGCCAAUUUCAGUUUUUGACCGCAUUUCUGCUGCUUUUAGUCCCCUUAUCUUAUAAAAAGGGUCUAGAUGAUAUGCUAUUUUAUUUGUGAAUUUCAAUCCAAUUAGGGACACCAAAAUAUUGAAACAUGUAAAAUUUGUAUCCUCCUCCUCUAAGCCAUUCAUCAAUAGCGUAAUAAAUUGAGCGGCGCGCAAUUCAUCCACUGGCAAGUGUCCAGCUUGUCAAACAGCUCCUGUGUUGGGCCGAAUCUUUGAAUUCUAUCAUGAGCAUGCUUUUUCAAACCUGUCUAAUUUGGGGACAGGUGUUUGGGUGAAAAAAAAGAACUUCCAGCUCUGGUGCGACAAUGAGCAGAGUAAUCCCGUUCAUUGUCCCUGCCCAAGGAGCCCCUUUUCAUGGAGGAGGUCGCAUGAAAGCUACCAGGUGGUCUGCAAUUUGGAGAAACGUAGUAACCGCUCCGGCUAAUCCCCCCCUUUCUGUCACAAAAGGCAGGUCUCCAGUGCUCCGGGGGACUCUCGGGGGGGGGCAAAAGGGAAAAGUUUACAAUGCUCACAGAGGGUCUGAAAGGAGUCAGGGACUCGAGUGGUGAUUCCUAAUCAGAUUGCACUGAAGUGAACAGCUCGCAUGGCAGCUGUAGUUUUCCCAGGGUUAAUUACCUUUCACUGCUCUCUCUAAAUGAGUCAGCUGUUCCUGUCAUUAAACAACUCCACUCUAUCUCUGCUCCCGUGUCCUCCUCACACAUGUGCACACGUGAACACACACUAACCGACGCUAUUUUAAACGCGUUCGGUAUAGCGAUCAAAGCCCGUUCAAAAAUAUCAAUUAUUCGAGAAAUGUGAGGUCUUUGAUCAAUUUCCUUACCACUUAGUGGACAUUGGAGAGCAAUUUCAGAUUGGUGUAUUUUGAUUUGCGCCGCUGAUUUUUAUGCAUAUGGGAGGCAGUGGUCCCAGUGCACCUCCCAUCCACACUGAUUCAGAACAAUAAUACCAGUCUGUCAAGGUCUCAUUGUAAACGGUUCCCGUUGUACUAAUGGAACACAUAAAGGAGCACACAUGCUCACAUAUGUGCACAUGCAAACACUAGCAUACGCACACACACCACCAACACAUGCACAGUCCAGCUCGAAACAUAGAUGUUCUGUCAUCAAUUCUGAACAAUCUGUCUGCUCGCCGAGCUCAGCGGCUCAGGAUGUUGGGGGAGUUUUAAGUGAAUUUUGCCACUGUAUGGUAAAAUCCCUUGGCCACCUGGAUUACAAACUCUAGUCCUUUAACUCAUGCCAGUAUAAAUCCGUGUUAACUCGGAUUUACCUCUGGCAUAUGAAUUCUCAAUCUGCGUAAGCUUUGUUUGGAAUGAGUCGAACAUAAGUAUUUUGUGCCGUUAACGAUGCCCGGUGGUGAAUUUUUCUUCUUUUUUUUUCUUUUUUUUUUUCGAUGAAACACACACCGGGGAGAUGGUUUGGGACUAAAUUAGUUAUUAGAACAACUUGAGAGGACUCAAGCAGAGUUUUAUUACAGUCGAUAUGUGACACUGGUGUGGCCCUUCACAUCCAGGUGGAAGUGCGCAACACUGCACUGUGAAAGCCAUGUAACCAAGGCAACCAGCAUAAACUCAGAAAGGGUACACUGUGAACAAGAGUUUAAGCUACAAAUAAGCAUUUGGGUCACUUAUGGCAGAUCUUGUUCUCUUGCACUCUGAAGUUAAAAGGUUAACAAUAAAUAGAAAAUGUUAUUUUGAGAAUAAAGUCUAAAUGUUUAC
This is a long non-coding RNA of Poecilia latipinna (sailfin molly), 5917 nucleotides long. RefSeq lists it as uncharacterized. Lineage: Eukaryota; Metazoa; Chordata; Actinopteri; Cyprinodontiformes; Poeciliidae. The record is from RefSeq and is a predicted model, not a curated record. The transcript is spliced from 2 exons.